This 514-nucleotide ribosomal RNA is filed under the name uncultured bacterium. RNAcentral describes it as "bacterial SSU rRNA". It matches the Rfam family "Bacterial small subunit ribosomal RNA", at positions 791 to 1310 of the family's 1533-position model. The record is from RNAcentral.
UAGUCCACGCCCUAAACGAUGUAUACUCGAUGUUUGGAUUUAUUUCUGGGCAUCCAAGGGAAACCAUUAAGUAUACCACCUGGGGAGUACGUCGGCAACGAUGAAACUCAAAGGAAUUGACGGGGUCCGCACAAGCAGUGGAGCAUGUGGUUUAAUUCGAUGCAACGCGAAGAACCUUACCUACCCUUGACAUCCUGCGAAUCCUGUAGAGAUACGGGAGUGCCUUCGGGAAUGCAGAGACAGGUGCUGCAUGGUUGUCGUCAGCUCGUGUUGUGAAAUGUUGGGUUAAGUCCCGUAACGAGCGCAACCCUUGUCCUUAGUUGCCAUCAUUUAGUUGGGGACUCUAAGGAGACUGCCGGUGACAAACCGGAGGAAGGUGGGGACGACGUCAAGUCAUCAUGGCCCUUACGGGUAGGGCUACACACGUGCUACAAUGGUCGGUACAGAGGGUAGCGAAUGGGCGACCUGGAGCCAAUCUUUCAAAGCCGAUCGUAGUCCGGAUCGCAGUCUGCAA